Molecule: ribosomal RNA, 491 nt
Filed under: uncultured bacterium
Lineage: Bacteria
Description: partial 16S ribosomal RNA
Rfam family: Bacterial small subunit ribosomal RNA
Source: RNAcentral
AGUGAACGCUGGCGGUAGGCCUAACACAUGCAAGUCGAACGGCAGCACAGUAAGAGCUUGCUCUUACGGGUGGCGAGUGGCGGACGGGUGAGGAAUACGUCGGAAUCUACUUUUUCGUGGGGGAUAACGUAGGGAAACUUACGCUAAUACCGCAUACGACCUACGGGUGAAAGCAGGGGAUCUUCGGACCUUGCGCGAUUGAAUGAGCCGAUGUCGGAUUAGCUAGUUGGCGGGGUAAAGGCCCACCAAGGCGACGAUCCGUAGCUGGUCUGAGAGGAUGAUCAGCCACACUGGAACUGAGACACGGUCCAGACUCCUACGGGAGGCAGCAGCGGGGAAUAUUGGACAAUGGGCGCAAGCCUGAUCCAGCCAUACCGCGUGGGUGAAGAAGGCCUUCGGGUUGUAAAGCCCUUUUGUUGGGAAAGAAAAGCAGCAGGUUAAUACCCCGCUGUUCUGACGGUACCCAAAGAAUAAGCACCGGCUAACUUCGU